This 422-nucleotide ribosomal RNA is filed under the name uncultured Chryseobacterium sp. RNAcentral describes it as "bacterial SSU rRNA". It matches the Rfam family "Bacterial small subunit ribosomal RNA", at positions 355 to 774 of the family's 1533-position model. Lineage: Bacteria; Pseudomonadati; Bacteroidota; Flavobacteriia; Flavobacteriales; Weeksellaceae. The record is from RNAcentral.
UGAGGAAUAUUGGACAAUGGGUGAAAGCCUGAUCCAGCCAUCCCGCGUGAAGGAUGACGGUCCUACGGAUUGUAAACUUCUUUUGUAUAGGGAUAAACCUAGAUACGUGUAUCUAGCUGAAGGUACUAUACGAAUAAGCACCGGCUAACUCCGUGCCAGCAGCCGCGGUAAUACGGAGGGUGCAAGCGUUAUCCGGAUUUAUUGGGUUUAAAGGGUCCGCAGGCGGGCCGAUAAGUCAGUGGUGAAAUCUCAUAGCUUAACUAUGAAACUGCCGUUGAUACUGUCGGUCUUGAGUAAAUUAGAGGUAGCUGGAAUAAGUAGUGUAGCGGUGAAAUGCAUAGAUAUUACUUAGAACACCAAUUGCGAAGGCAGGUUACCAUGAUUUAACUGACGCUGAGGGACGAAAGCGUGGGGAGCGAACA